ACUGAACCGUUCACGUUAUAUUUUUACACGAUCUACGAUCGAGAAUUGAAUGACGGUUCGGGCGGACAGAUCGAUUGUGGAACACGAAAUGUGAGCAAGUAGGAUCCAAGAUGGGAUCCGAGCAGAGCUCACAGGGUGGCAAUCAGAAUGCCAAUAGUGGGAGAGCAAGGACAGGUCAGCUGAGACGAGGCAAGAGUGUACCAAAUCGUGAACGGGUACCUGAAGAUACCCCACCAAGAUGCACCAGCCCUGGUGCAAGCAUCUGUUCCGACUCUGAUCUACCAUACAUCUCCUAUACAGUCAACCGACCUAUUGGAGAUUCUCCAAAGAUGACAAAUAAGCAAUCGUCACAGCUCUAUCGUGGCAAGAGUCUUGGUGCAGCAGAGAUCUCUAGACGGAAAAACAGUUUGGGUGGCAUAAGUCACGGCCAUAGACAGAAGAGUAUGUUGCAGCAGGAUAAAACUCAGCAUAAUAUUGUUGUGGUGAAGGCAGCUCAGGCGGACCCAACAGCUGAUAAAGACCCAGACUUGGUACGAUUACAGAGUAUACCAAUGUUCCUACCAAUCAUGCGCGGCACGCUGAACUUACCGCCGGGUGUGCGCGACCCAGAGGUACUCGAACGUCUCGAUCCCGUCGGCCUGUUCAAUUUGUGCGCGCGUUAUCAACAUCACUUGAACACCAAUGCGCAAACUGUGGCUGCCGAACAGGCUGCUCUGUGCGCUAGCAUGGAGACUGACCUUGCCAAGAUGUUGAAUCAAGCAGUAGAGCGGCAAAAGAGGUUUGCCAGGUUCGCUGAACAGCUGAACAAGGUGCACGAACUUAGUCGUCAGCUCACAAGGUGUCACUCGCAACUCAACCAGACUCUUGAGAGCCUCGAGACGCUCAACAAUCUGCUGCCAGUGGAGGAGAGACUGGAGCCUUUCGUCUGGACCACGGGUUAGGGAAGAAAGAAUCGGAGCGCGAGGAACUUCCUUAAAUGCAUGGAAUUUUUCCUUCGUGUUGUAUGUGACGAUCGAACAACCGUUGAUCCGAGACACCCCGUGUGUAAAGACGAGUGGUGGGAUAUUUGAUGGCUCGAAUUCGGAGAAGCGACUUCUGCCUCAGUUUGCUCGCAUCCGAGCUGGCGCGAGGUUGUGUUGUGUGCUUUCGCUGCAAGUUGCUCCCUUGAAAAGCAUCCCUUUCACCUUCAACCCUCUAUCUGCCGGUCACCGUGUGUUCUUUUCUUCGCGCUGUGGAAAUUACACACACUGGUGUUUCUCGCAAGAAAACAUCCCUCAAGAAACGUGCACAGUGAGACAGUGUUAAGUGAGAGAAGUGAUUUUCGUGGCUGAAUCUAUUUUCGAGGCGAAUCUCGAGGAUUUUCGUGGAUGGGUGA
This 1375-nucleotide unclassified non-coding RNA is filed under the name Harpegnathos saltator (Jerdon's jumping ant). RNAcentral's name for it is "uncharacterized LOC105182824, transcript variant X5". The record is from RNAcentral. Lineage: Eukaryota; Metazoa; Arthropoda; Insecta; Hymenoptera; Formicidae.